GCCCGGAUGGCGGAAUGGUAGACGCGCUACAUUCAGGUUGUAGUGUCCUAAGGAUGUGCAAGUUCGAGUCUUGUUCCGGGUA
Molecule: transfer RNA, 82 nt
Filed under: Bacteroidales bacterium OttesenSCG-928-B11
Lineage: Bacteria; Pseudomonadati; Bacteroidota; Bacteroidia; Bacteroidales
Also listed under: 1 other name
Description: tRNA-Leu
Rfam family: tRNA
About the family: Transfer RNA (tRNA) molecules are approximately 80 nucleotides in length. Their secondary structure includes four short double-helical elements and three loops (D, anti-codon, and T loops).
Source: RNAcentral